CCAAUAGCGUAUAUUAAAGUUGUUGCAGUUAAAAAGCUCGUAGUUGAAUUUCGGGGUUUUACCGUUGGUCGGGCUAUCCAGUCUGUACUAACGUGUAGAAUUCCUACCUUCUGGAGAACCAUCAUGUUAUUAAUUUAGCGUGGUGGGAAACCAGGACCUUUACCUUGAAAAAAUUAGAGUGUUCAAAGCAGGCUUAAGUCUGAAUACAUUAGCAUGGAAUAAUAAAAUAGGACGGUGGUCCUGUUUUGUUGGUUUCUGAAUCAUCGUAAUGAUUAAUAGGGAUAGUUGGGGGCAUUAGUAUUCAAUUGUCAGAGGUGAAGUUCUUGGAUUUAUUGAAGACUAACUUCUGCGAAAGCAUUUGCCAAGGAUGUUUUCAUUAAUCAAGAACGAAAGUUAGGGGAUCGAAGACGAUCAGAUACCGUCGUAGUCUUAACCAUAAACUAUGCCGACUAGGGAUCGGACGAUGUUUAAUUUUAUUGACUCGUUCGGCGCCUUACG
Molecule: ribosomal RNA, 498 nt
Filed under: uncultured Glomeromycotina
Lineage: Eukaryota; Fungi; Glomeromycota
Description: partial small subunit ribosomal RNA
Rfam family: Eukaryotic small subunit ribosomal RNA
Source: RNAcentral